RNAcentral lists this ribosomal RNA (253 nucleotides) under uncultured bacterium. Its description in RNAcentral is "partial 16S ribosomal RNA". It matches the Rfam family "Bacterial small subunit ribosomal RNA", at positions 524 to 776 of the family's 1533-position model. The record is from RNAcentral.
UACAGAGGGUGCUAGCGUUGUUCGGAAUCAUUGGGCGUAAAGGGCGUGUAGGCGGUUUGUUAAGUCAUGUGUGAAAUCCCUCGGCUCAACCGAGGAAAGACGCAUGAAACUGGCAAGCUAGAGUACCGAAGAGGGGGGUGGAAUUCCCGGUGUAGCGGUGAAAUGUGUAGAGAUCGGGAGGAACACCGGUGGCGAAGGCGGUCUUCUGGACGGUGACUGACGCUGAGGCGCGAAAGCGUGGGGAGCAAACGGG